GGAGGGUGCAAGCGUUAUCCGGAUUUAUUAGGUUUAAAGGGUUCGCAGGCGGAAUUUUAAGUCAGUGGUGAAAGCCUAUAGCUCAACUAUAGAACUGCCAUUGAUACUGAUAUUCUUGAGUAUAGAUGAAGUGGGCGGAAUAUGUCAUGUAGCGGUGAAAUGCAUAGAUAUGACAUGGAACACCAAUUGCGAAGGCAGCUCACUAAACUAUUACUGACGCUCAUGAACGAAAGCAUGGGGAGCGAACAGGAUUAGAUACCCUGGUAGUCCAUGCCGUAAACUAUGAUCACUAGAUGUUGGCGAUAUAUUGUCAGUGUUUUAGAGAAAUCGAUAAGUGAUCCACCUGGGGAGUACGUUCGCAAGAAUGAAACUCAAAGGAAUUGACGGGGGCCCGCACAAGCGGUGGAGCAUGUGGUUUAAUUCGAUGAUACGCGAGGAACCUUACCAAGGCUUAAAUGUAAAACGACCGAUUGAGAAAUCAAUCUUUUUUCGAACGAUUUACAAGGUGCUGCAUGGUUGUCGUCAGCUCGUGCCGUGAGGUGUCGGGUUAAGUCCCAUAACGAGCGCAACCCCUAUUUUUAGUUGCCAGCGAGUAAUGUCGGGAACUCUAGAAAGACUGCCUGUGUAAACAGUGAGGAAGGUGGGGAUGACGUCAAAUCAUCACGGCCCUUAUGUCUUGGGCUACACACGUGCUACAAUGGUUACUACAGUGGGCUGCCAUCUGGCAACAGAGAGCAAAUCCAUAAAGGUAAUCCCAGUUCGGAUCGGAGUCUGCAACUCGACUCUGUGAAGUUGGAAUCGCUAGUAAUCGUAUAUCAGCAAUGAUACGGUGAAUACGUUCCCGGGCCUU
RNAcentral lists this ribosomal RNA (850 nucleotides) under uncultured organism. RNAcentral describes it as "bacterial SSU rRNA". It matches the Rfam family "Bacterial small subunit ribosomal RNA", at positions 527 to 1382 of the family's 1533-position model. The record is from RNAcentral.